AUGGAUGCUCGUAACCUUGGGGAAGGAGAGCGCGCACCAUUGUCUGCUUUUCCUGCCUUGGGAUUCCUGUGCGCGCCCCCUCCCCGGCCGGGGCCGCACAGAAUAAAAAAUAUCAUUAAAAAAAGGACUCAAAUCGCGGUUUUGGGUGGUUUCAGUGCCUGUCCAGCCGGGAUUCAAUGGGGGCGGCCGCUCAGCUGCGGCCCCGAGCCCCGCGGAAGCGCUGACGCGCGGAACGAGCCGUCCCAGCGCGCUUUAAUUUCCUUUAUUUUCGCCGACGAGAACAGCGAAUGCCAGCUCGGUGCGCGGCGCCCAGCCCGAGGCGCUGGGAUAAAUCAGAUCCCGAGCGGAACGGCAUUCGGGGGGUGGAAAAAAAUAAAAAUAAUAAUAAAUAAAAAAAAAAGAUGCCUGGAACUAUUAGGGAUCAAUGAGACAUUUGUCUUACUUUUCUUUUUUUUUUUGGUGGAGGGAGUGAGGAGGGGGCGAGGGUCACGGGGGGAGGGGAGGGAGGGAAUUAUGGACAAGUCUGCAGAAAAAGUAGCUGCGAGCCGAGGAAAUGGUGCGAAGGAGGGAAAUUUAGACGGGAUCGAUAAAGGGAUAAAUAGAAAACUCCCUUCGCUUUCCUCCGGCAGAGAGAGACCGAGAGAGCCUCGCUGCUUGGGCAGCAGCGUGCUCGCAACCCCCUCCCCUUUUCCAUGGAUUUUCUUUUUUUUUUUUUUUUUCCAUUUUUUUUUUUCCCCCCCUCUCUCCGAGCUGAAAACUGAUUACAGGUUGCUUAUCGACUCCGGCACGAUUUCGCCCCUCGCAGCAGGGCUGGCGCGGGGUUUUAUACGGCAUCAAUUAUUUAUCAUAUUUUAUAAAUCCGGCCGCGCAGUCCCGUGCCCCCGAGGAGGGGGCGGGCGCCGAUUGGCGCCGCGGCGGCCACGUGCCCGCGCGUCACCGGGGCCGGGAGGAAAAAGGCUCCUUUUUGGUGUAAAUCUGGACUCUAAUUCCGUAAUAUAUCACGGUACCUCGUAA
RNAcentral lists this long non-coding RNA (1014 nucleotides) under Junco hyemalis (dark-eyed junco). Its description in RNAcentral is "lncRNA (ENSJHYG00000007480.1)". The record is from RNAcentral. Lineage: Eukaryota; Metazoa; Chordata; Aves; Passeriformes; Passerellidae.